GCGAGCUGCUUUCCCUCCCCAAAGUGUGGAGCAGGAGCGCGGGGGAGCGCGGCGGCGGCGGCGCCUCCUCUGCCACCAAACUCCGGGGCUCGGCGGGGCUUGGGGCCACCUCCUCCUUAGCCAGGAGGAACCUUCUCCCAAUAGGUUGCAGCCUGACUUUUUCCUUCCCAUUUCUUUCUUCUUUCUCUCUCUUUUUAAAAAAUACACUUUUCCUGCCUUUGGACCUCAGACUGCUGCAGCCCGAGCAUUCCCGGGGCUCAGUUCUUGGGGGCUGCCCAUCCCUCCGGCUGCAAGCAAGGACGCGCGCCCUGCGUCGGGCGAAGAAAAGAAGAAAAACUUGUCGGAGAGGUUUCGCGUGCCCACAGUAACCCCCUUCCCACAAACCUAAACCUCCCGCGGGGGCCAUCCCAAGACUCUGUAAAGUUCCUUCCGAGCCAACAGCCCUCUUGGAUUUGGAGGAGGCACCGGCGCUGGCUGUGGAAUUAGAUCUGUUUUGAACCCAGUGGAGCGCAUCGGGGGAGCUCGGAAGUCACAGUCUGCGGGUACCCGGGUGGCGCUGCCUGUGCGGAACGGAGAGUUUGCCAGCCCCGGCUGCAAGUGGCCUUUCGUCUCCGCAGUUGUUGUUCUGUGUCUGGGGUGAGGGCUGCGAGUGUUGUGGCAAGUUGUGAAGAGAGACCUGGAGGUCCGGAGAGGACUGCACUCCCCCUGGCACUCCCUUCUUCCUCUUCCCGGCUCCCCGGUGUGAAAUCCCAGCGAAAUUUACAAAGGCCUCUCGCGUCCAGCCGACACCGGUCCUCGGCGUUCGGCCCCGUUGUCCCCAUUCUCAGCGGGAGCCCCGGAGCACAGGGCGCCAGGGAAGGACUGGCGGGGAGGAGGAGGGAGGUCGCGGCGGCGGCAUGGCGAGGUUCCCAAGGGCCGACCUGGCUGCUGCAGGAGUUGUGUUACUUUGCCACUUUUUAAUGGACCGGUUUCAUUUCGCUGAAGGGAAGCCUGGAAGCCAAGUCAAUGAUUGGCACUAUCAUGUUGCUCAGGCCUUCCCACAAACAGAAGAGGAGGUGGACGUGGACUCACAUGCAUUCAGCCACCGGUGGAAAAGGAACCUGGAUUCCCUCAAGGCGGUAGACUCAAACCGAGCCAGCAUGGGCCAAGACUCCCCAGAGCCCAGAGGCUUCACGGACCUGCUCCUGGACGAUGGGCGGGACAACACCACCCAGAUUGAGGAGGACACAGAUCAUAAUUACUAUAUUUCUCGGAUAUAUGGUCCAUCUGAUUCUGCCAGCCGGGAUUUGUGGGUGAACAUAGACCAAAUGGAAAAGGACAAAGUGAAGAUUCACGGGAUACUGUCCAACACUCACCGGCAAGCUGCAAGAGUGAAUCUGUCCUUCGAUUUCCCAUUUUAUGGCCAUUUCCUCCGUGAAAUCACUGUGGCAACUGGGGGUUUUAUAUACACUGGAGAAGUUGUACAUCGCAUGCUAACAGCCACACAGUACAUAGCACCUUUAAUGGCAAAUUUUGAUCCCAGUGUAUCCAGAAAUUCAACCGUCAGAUAUUUUGAUAAUGGCACAGCGCUUGUUGUCCAGUGGGACCAUGUACAUCUCCAGGAUAAUUACAACCUGGGAAGCUUCACAUUCCAAGCAACCCUCCUCAUGGAUGGACGCAUCAUCUUCGGAUAUAAAGAAAUUCCUGUCUUGGUCACACAGAUAAGUUCGACCAACCACCCAGUGAAAGUGGGGCUGUCAGACGCGUUUGUCGUCGUCCACAGGAUCCAACAAAUCCCCAAUGUUCGAAGAAGAACAAUUUAUGAAUACCACCGAGUAGAACUACAAAUGUCAAAAAUUACCAAUAUUUCAGCUGUGGAGAUGACCCCAUUGCCUACCUGUCUCCAGUUUAAUGGUUGUGGCCCGUGUGUAUCCUCUCAGAUUGGCUUCAACUGCAGUUGGUGUAGUAAACUUCAAAGAUGUUCCAGUGGGUUUGAUCGCCAUCGGCAGGACUGGGUGGACAGCGGAUGCCCUGAAGAGUCCAAGGAGAAGAUGUGUGACACCACAGAGCCAGUGGAGAGCUCCACGCGAACCACCACAACCAUACGAGCGACAACCACACAGUUCAGGGUCUUGACGACCACCCGAAGAGCAGCCACCUCCCAGCUGCCCACCAGCCUGCCCACAGAAGAUGAUACCAAGAUAGCUCUACAUCUAAAAGAUAAUGGAGCCUCAACAGAUGACAGUGCAGCUGAGAAGAAAGGCGGGAACCUCCAUGCCGGGCUCAUUGUUGGAAUCCUCAUCCUGGUCCUCAUUAUAGCUGCCGCCAUCCUCGUGACAGUCUACAUGUACCAUCAUCCAACGUCAGCAGCCAGCAUCUUCUUCAUUGAGAGACGCCCAAGCAGAUGGCCUGCAAUGAAGUUCCGAAGAGGUUCUGGCCAUCCUGCCUAUGCUGAAGUCGAACCCGUGGGAGAGAAAGAAGGUUUUAUCGUCUCGGAGCAGUGCUAAAAUUCCCGGGGCACAACAGCGCCAGUGCUGGCUUACAGGUGUUCAGACUAAAAUUUGCCUAUACCUUUAAGAAACACACACACACACACACACACACACAGACACACACACACACACACACACACACACACACACACACACAGACACACACACCCCGGUUGUGACAACUAAAGUUGUCUCCAGACAUUGCCGCAUGUCCCCUGGGGUAAGAUGGGGAAAACUACUAGAUUCCCUAGUGAACAAAACAUAUCAGGAGGAGAAAAGAAACGUUUCUCUUUCUCUUGUCACUUAAUCUUCGACAUGUAUAGGUUUUUAUUUAUAAUAAGUCUUGGCAUCAUGAACUCAUUGAAUUAGAAGGGACAAUUAAAGCCACCAGUUCAACCACAACCCAGCAUCAUCCAUAUCUAGUUCUCAUCUCUCGGCUUUACAAACGAAUUGAGAGAACAUCAGAGGGAACUGACGUGGGAGUUGACUCUCUCAUAGUGAGAGAGAAGGCUCUUCGGUGUUUAUGUUCUGCCCCUGAAAUAGCUGCUGCAGUGACUUUGGCUUCAGCUGGGGACGUGGUGUCACACAACUUCAGCAUCUCAGAGACUUCGAGGAGUUUUCUUUGAUUAUUUUGUCUCCAAAUCUUGCUCCAGCAUCUUUGCUUUCAAGUUGUGCAUAGAAGUUGAAGUUCAGUGUAUCUAAUUUUAAGUCUAUCAGGUUGAGCUUCCGACUUUUUUUUUUUUAAUUCUCCCUCUGACUUUUUUUUUUUAAUUCUCCCUCUUCGGGGGAAAAAAAAUAAAAUUGACUCUUCCAAGUAACUGAAAGUCGGAAAUGUCAGAGUUGGAAUGUCUGAAUCUGUCAAGCCAAAGUUCCUGCUGAUUUGAUGUGCCUUAUGUCAGUUUUCCUGUGGGGUCAGUGAUUUCUUGUAAAUAACCCUGUGUUUGUUCUUGUGUUUAUUCUGCACCAAUUAGAAAGCUUGAUGAAGUUCUAAAAGACAACCCUUUAAGAAUAUUCCCAGAAACAACACCAACGAGAAAAAACCCUGCCAACUGGAAUAUCAGGCCUCCCUCUAUUCUUUUGCUAAAAGACCAACCCAGACUUUGGAAACAUUCUUAAUUAUUUACUACAAGUUGCUAAUAUGGAUGCACAAUUGAAAGCCUUGAUUGUGAAGUCCAAGGCUAUAGAAUAUUGACAAGCACAUCUAAAGUGACCUCUCCCAAGACCGUGCUGGAUAUCAGAAAACUCCAACCUAGGAGACCCACAAGUGUGCACAUAAUUUCCUUCUCUACCACUGUCCUAUCAGACAACAUGGUGAUAGUUAAGGUUUUAAUUAAGUUGAUCUUCCAAUUUCAACUUAAACUGCAACGUAUGUGCCUAAUUAUUUCCUGACAUACCCUUUAAACCACCCAGUUCUCACUGCUCUCACAAUGAUUACUGCAAAGCAGUAAGACGAUAAUUGUUCAAGUAAAGUCACCUAAGUUUUUUAAAUCAAAUCUCUAUAACAAAUUUACAAAAUACAUCAUCGCUGGCUUCUCAAUGUUAAUUCUUGUUAAUUUCCAGAUCGCUGUCCACACUGAGUCCGUGUCACUUUAAAUCCAGAAUAAAAAGCUGGAAAAAAAUUAAUGUAAAUCAGAUGCCGGUGCUCCUCUUUUUCUAAUUUCUAAGAUUUAUUAUCAUUUGAGAAUUAGUAAGAGAAAAAAGAAAAAGGAAAUGAAAAGAAAAGGAAAAAAAAGCCUCUCCUAAUGGAAUAAAGUAAAAAAUUUUGACUUGGCAGAUAGUGAUGUAUUCACUUUAAUUCCAGUUGGAAACCUUCAGUGACUUCUCUCAUUACCACUGGAGUUUUGAUUUUUUUUAAAAACAGUCUCUCUUCCCUAGCAUUACAAAAAAAUAUAUAUAUAUUCAUCACCAAAAUACCGCUUACCAAUCAUGCAGCUAUAAACCAUUUGUGCCUAUCAAAUAGAUACCAGUUUUAGAUGUUUGCUCUGUGGGAAGAGGUUUAGGAAUGGGUGCAGGGGUAAUUCGUGGAAAAGAUAAAGGUCGAAAUGUGCUAUCAAGCAGAAUUUUCACCUUCUUCAGAGCAAUGUGCAAAUAAAUAUUCAAUGAAGAUCAGCUCAAAUUUAAGUCAUCCAGACAUUGAGACCCUGUGCAAGUUAUGUUAAGAAGCAUGUGACAUACAGAAAGUAAAGGAUGUUCCCAUUGAAUCUAAAACUCAAGCCAUCAUCUACCUGGACCUCUUUAGGGCAUUAAUCCUGAAACCAUUGAGGCUUUUGAUCUAGCCAGUUGGGUUACUUAUGGGCAAGUAAUGACCAAAAAGGAACUUUUCAUUUAUCAUCCUCUGAGUUACAAGGCAUGACCCUGUUUUUUUGAUUCCCUUAUACCAGAGACCAUGAGACAGCCAGCUCCACACAGGCCAUAAAAUACAAUAAAAAGAAAAAUAAUUUUCCUGAGGAAAGGCUAACGAAGGGUACUUUAUUCUGUAGACCCUGAGCUGGAUCCCUGGGCGGUUUGGCCAUCUUAGGACCUAGACAUCAGCAACCAUUUUAAAGGUGGUUUGAACAAAAGUAUACCAAGUGUCAUAUUUUUUAGCAGGAAAAUAAAAACUCAGAUUAAGUGUCCUCUGCCAGUCUACUCUGAGAAUGCCAUCAAGUGAAAUCAGAGCUUCCCUAGCUGAAAAAUGUUAAAAUCAUUUCAGGAAAAUGAAUUUGGUUUCUUUAGACACAAGCAUUUUGUGUUUAUUAUAACUAAAUCUCAGGGCCCUAGCUGAGAAGGGGAAAGCCGUUUCAUUGGUGGGUCAAAACAAAUCUCUCGUUUGCCUCUCUUGAGGCAUUUGGCCAGUGCCUGCGAAGUACAUUACUUUCCUGGGGGAAAAAGAGACAGCCUUUUCUCGCAUGCCAGCUGGGAUCAUGGGAACGUCCGAUGCCAGGAAUUUACUACUGUUUCUGGUAACUCUGCUUGUAGUCAUUUGAAAUGCUGAAGGGUGGGGGAGGAGAAGUCGGGCACCCAGGGAGCUGUCUGUGUUUUAUGCCAGUUACACCAGGCACAGAGUAUUUGUAAACGCUUUCCGAAGUGGGGAUAUUUGUAUCCUUUGUCAGAAUCACAAAGCUCGCUGUGGAGCCUCUGAAAGAGAGCCCGGGGGGUGGGGGGGGUGGGGGGGUGGAAUCGCUGACCCUUUGCACCCAGUCAACCCGCACAAAAGGGCAGACUGUGCGGGUGAGCCCAGCACAUGGCGAAUUUGUUUCUGUUUUCCACGGCCCUGGACUUCCGAUCAAGGACAUGUCUGUCAGGUGAAGGUUAAUUUUGCUGAAGUUUUCCAACACUUCAUUUAAUACUUGGAAACAUGAGCAUUUUGAAUUUAUUCCAGUCCUCCGGGCACCAUCCCGAUUUCCUUUGCCAUGUCACCAAGACUCUGAAGACGGCGCUCUUUCAUGAUAAAAUUCCAUUCACAUGCUUGACAUACCUGAACCUGCAAAUGUAAAAGUGAUUGUAUCUGAAUUUGCACUAAUGUGUCUGAUAGCAGAAGACCUUUAUUGGACUCCUCUGUUUAAACUCAGUCAUUCAGAUGCCACGUACUUCUGCAAGCUUCUUGAUCGUUUUCACUGUAAGACUAAUUAUCUAAGUUUGAAUGUAUUUCCUUACAGCCCAUUAAUUUUGCCAUCUUUUACCUGGAGAUCAUUAUGAUUGCAAUAAUUCCUUAAAGUUUUCCUCACACAGCUUCUUAAACCAAGUUUUUCUGCUUUUUCUUCUGGUCCUGCUUAUAGUAUGUGGGAAAUCUUUUUUUUUUCCCCUCUGUAAUAAUUUUGUAAGAAGCCAGUGUAUCAACAGCCAUUGCGACACAAUUCAUCUUUUCAGGUCUGGAAGCUGGUAGUGACCAAAUGCCACGUAUAUUCUCCCUGUCAAUUGCUAUUUUCAGAAUUAAAUCGUGUUUUUUUCACUUUCAGUUGGUUGGGGUCAACACAUUUGGGAUUUUUAGAAGGGGGAAAAGGGAGCAAUUUGUGUAAUACUGCUGUCAUAUUUGACUACAUAUUAAAAACAAUAAAUGAUCAUUUUGUUUUAAUUUCUUAAA
Vicugna pacos (alpaca) is the source of this 6534-nucleotide non-coding RNA. NCBI's taxonomy places the organism in Eukaryota, Metazoa, Chordata, Mammalia, Artiodactyla, Camelidae. The record is from RefSeq and is a predicted model, not a curated record.